ACGGCGUUGGGCCAACAAAUUUGUUUGACGCGAUUAAUUGAUCCCAUAAUAUCUCACAUGUCAUCUGUACAGUAUUAGUAGAGAUGAUGACAAAAAUGAGAUUUGCAUACCUAAAGUGCGAUAUUGGAAAGAGCGUUUGUAAAAUAGCCACUGCCUUAGAUUGAUUUGCUUAGAUGGUCAUUUCUUUUUCUUUCUUUCCUUCCUUCUUUCUUUCUUUCUUUGUUGUUAGUUAAACUACUAUAACAUCAUUGUUCCUUCAAUGUGCUAAAAUAGUUCCACACUUGAAAAUGGAUUUUUUAUUUUGUUAUUUAUUUCAAUGUUCUGGUGAAGUGUAAUUGCUUCAGACAUGUAUAUUAUUUUAUUUUUAACUAAUAUCCGCAAUCCAGGGUCAGGAAAAAAUGUCAUUGAUUGCCUGUUGAGCUUGCUACAUAGAGAACUAGAGGAAGAGAUGAUUUGCGUGAUUAUAGCAAUUAUUACUGGUGAGAGCAGUCUUUUGAGGAAGGCUGUAUUUGAUGUUGGUUUCAUAAAACCUCUGCACAAGUCGGUUCAAGAGAAGCAUGGGUAUCGCUGUUGCAAUUACAAAUGCUAUUGAUGAUACUGUUUAUGAUGAACAACAGAUGGAGUGCUUGGUGGAGUUCUGCAAAAAAGCCAAAUGAUGGUGGCAAUAAUGUUUAUGCUCAGAAGAAAAGAGAUUUGGAAGUGGGAAAAAGUUAAAGUGGUUAGUACUUUGAAACGGGUUGAGGUAAUAGUGAAGUCAUACUGGGCUCAAAGUGAUGGCACAUGAAGCUGAAAUGGUUUCCAGUAACCUUUUCCUUGACAUACUUACCAUCUUCAUAUGAUAAGAGGGCGGAAAAUGGAAAGAGACAAAUUUAGACAAAUCUAUCCAUUACUAUAUUCAUAUAUUUCUAUUUCAACUAUUUUAUAGUAAAUAAGGAACAGCCAAAACAUGUUUAC
Lycium ferocissimum is the source of this 954-nucleotide long non-coding RNA. RefSeq lists it as uncharacterized. The record is from RefSeq and is a predicted model, not a curated record. The transcript has 3 exons. NCBI's taxonomy places the organism in Eukaryota, Viridiplantae, Streptophyta, Magnoliopsida, Solanales, Solanaceae.